Molecule: ribosomal RNA, 537 nt
Filed under: Capnocytophaga sputigena
Lineage: Bacteria; Pseudomonadati; Bacteroidota; Flavobacteriia; Flavobacteriales; Flavobacteriaceae
Description: bacterial SSU rRNA
Rfam family: Bacterial small subunit ribosomal RNA
Source: RNAcentral
GUCGAGGGAGAGGUUACCUUCGGGUAACCAAAACCGGCGCACGGGUGCGUAACGCGUAUACAAUCUGCCUUUCACAUAGGGAUAGCCCGAAGAAAUUUGGAUUAAUACCUAAUGGUAUAUAAGAGCGGCAUCGUUUUUAUAUUAAAGCUACGGUGGUGAAAGAUGAGUAUGCGUUCUAUUAGCUAGUUGGAGAGGUAACGGCUCCCCAAGGCGACGAUAGAUAGGGGUUCUGAGAGGGAUGUCCCCCACACUGGUACUGAGAUACGGACCAGACUCCUACGGGAGGCAGCAGUGAGGAAUAUUGGACAAUGGUCGGAAGACUGAUCCAGCCAUGCCGCGUGCAGGAUGAAGGUCCUAUGGAUUGUAAACUGCUUUUGUAAGGGAAGAAUAAGGAGUACGUGUACUUUGAUGACGGUACCUUACGAAUAAGCAUCGGCUAACUCCGUGCCAGCAGCCGCGGUAAUACGGAGGAUGCGAGCGUUAUCCGGAAUCAUUGGGUUUAAAGGGUCCGUAGGCGGGCUGAUAAGUCAGAGGUGA